GGCCUGGCUGGGUGGUCUUGCUGCAAGGUAAGCACUGCUCUGGUCGGGUCUUUCCUUCUGGGGAACCAGUGUGCUCUUAGUUGAGUGCGCUGGGGAUCCAGGACUUUUACUUUGAAAAAAUUAGAGUGUUUAAAGCAGGCUUACGCUUGAAUACAUUAGCAUGGAAUAAUAAAACAGGCC
Molecule: ribosomal RNA, 180 nt
Filed under: uncultured Glomeromycotina
Lineage: Eukaryota; Fungi; Glomeromycota
Description: partial small subunit ribosomal RNA
Rfam family: Eukaryotic small subunit ribosomal RNA (bases 91-180)
Source: RNAcentral